CCUUGACAUACUAAGAACUUUCCAGAGAUGGAUUGGUGCCUUCGGGAACUUAGAUACAGGUGCUGCAUGGCUGUCGUCAGCUCGUGUCGUGAGAUGUUGGGUUAAGUCCCGNAACGAGCGCAACCCUUUUCUUAUUUGCCAGCGGGUCAUGCCGGGAACUUUAAGGAUACUGCCAGUGACAAACUGGAGGAAGGCGGGGACGACGUCAAGUCAUCAUGGCCCUUACGGCCAGGGCUACACACGUGCUACAAUGGUCGGUACAAAGGGUUGCUACCUCGCGAGAGGAUGCUAAUCUCAAAAAGCCGAUCGUAGUCCGGAUCGCAGUCUGCAACUCGACUGCGUGAAGUCGGAAUCGCUAGUAAUCGCGGAUCAGAAUGCCGCGGUGAAUACGUUCCCGGGCCUUGUACACACCGCCCGUCACACCAUGGGAGUUUGUUGCACCAGAAGUAGGUAGUCUAACCGCAAGGAGGACGCUUACCACGGUGUGGCCGAUGACUGGGGUGAAGUCGUAACAAGGUAGGCGUAGAUGA
Molecule: ribosomal RNA, 530 nt
Filed under: uncultured bacterium
Lineage: Bacteria
Description: bacterial SSU rRNA
Rfam family: Bacterial small subunit ribosomal RNA
Source: RNAcentral